GACGAACGCUGGCGGCGUGCUUAACACAUGCAAGUCGAGCGGUAAGGCCCUUUCGGGGGUACACGAGCGGCGAACGGGUGAGUAACACGUGGGUGACCUGCCCUCAGCUCUGGGAUAAGCCUGGGAAACUGGGUCUAAUACUGGAUAUGACUCCACGGUGCAUGUCGUGGGGUGGAAAGCCUUGUGCGGCUGAGGAUGGGCCCGCGGCCUAUCAGCUUGUUGGUGGGGNGAUGGCCUACCAAGGCGACGACGGGUAGCCGGCCUGAGAGGGCGACCGGCCACACUGGGACUGAGACGACGGCCCAGACUCCUACGGGAGGCAGCAGUGGGGAAUCUUGCGCAAUGGGCGAAAGCCUGACGCAGCGACGCCGCGUGAGGGAUGACGGCCUGGU
RNAcentral lists this ribosomal RNA (392 nucleotides) under uncultured bacterium. RNAcentral describes it as "bacterial SSU rRNA". It matches the Rfam family "Bacterial small subunit ribosomal RNA", at positions 28 to 420 of the family's 1533-position model. The record is from RNAcentral.